This 389-nucleotide long non-coding RNA is filed under the name Vigna radiata. RNAcentral's name for it is "long non-coding RNA (VRAD_LNC012897)". Lineage: Eukaryota; Viridiplantae; Streptophyta; Magnoliopsida; Fabales; Fabaceae. The record is from RNAcentral.
GUGGAUGAAUGAUUGGAUUUGAGCAUUGCAUUCGCUUAGUUUAUAAUUCUGAAGACCGAAUUAGCCUUCGCUUAGUUGGGUGAUUCGUGUUGGAUUUGUCAUUAAUCUGGGAUAGGAAGCAUAGUAAUUGAGUUAAUGACCAACCGUUUUCAUUCUGCAUUUGAUUCCAUAUUUACUUAUGUGUUUGCAAUUCUGUUUUUACAUUUCUGUUGCAUCCGUGUUUUAAUUUAGUUUAUCCGCAUUCACAAUCCUUUCACAAACCCCCCACUACGUGUUAGUGUGUGUUGUGUUUUGUCUUGUGUUGUGAGUGUGUUGUUCCGUUUUGUGUCGUGUCAUGUGUGUUGCAUUUAGAUAGUUGCAUAUUUUCAUUCCAUUCUUCUUUCCCCCCU